UACGAAGGGGGCUAGCGUUGUUCGGAUUUACUGGGCGUAAAGGGCGCGUAGGCGGAUUUUUAAGUCAGGGGCGAAAUCCCGAGGCUCAACCUCGGAAUUGCCUUUGAUACUGAAAGUCUUGAGUUCGGAAGAGGUGAGUGGAAUUGUGAGUGUAGAGGUGAAAUUCGUAGAUAUUCACAAGAACACCGGUGGCGAAGGCGGCUCACUGGUCCGAUACUGACGCUGAGGCGCGAAAGCGUGGGGAGCAAACAGG
Molecule: ribosomal RNA, 253 nt
Filed under: uncultured bacterium
Lineage: Bacteria
Description: partial 16S ribosomal RNA
Rfam family: Bacterial small subunit ribosomal RNA
Source: RNAcentral